GAGGCAGCAGUGAGGAAUAUUGGUCAAUGGGCGAGAGCCUGAACCAGCCAAGUAGCGUGAAGGAUGACCGCCUAUGGGUUGUAAACUUCUUUUAUAUGGGAAUAAGGGUGCCACGUGUGGCAUUUUGUAUGUACCAUAUGAAUAAGGAUCGGCUAACUCCGUGCCAGCAGCCGCGGUAAUACGGAGGAUCCGAGCGUUAUCCGGAUUUAUUGGGUUUAAAGGGAGCGUAGGUGGACAUGUAAGUCAGUUGUGAAAGUUUGCGGCUCAACCGUAAAAUUGCAGUUGAUACUGCGUGUCUUGAGUACAGUAGAGGUGGGCGGAAU
This 323-nucleotide ribosomal RNA is filed under the name uncultured bacterium. Its description in RNAcentral is "bacterial SSU rRNA". It matches the Rfam family "Bacterial small subunit ribosomal RNA", at positions 345 to 667 of the family's 1533-position model. The record is from RNAcentral.